RNAcentral lists this transfer RNA (70 nucleotides) under Ictidomys tridecemlineatus (thirteen-lined ground squirrel). RNAcentral's name for it is "Spermophilus tridecemlineatus (thirteen-lined ground squirrel) tRNA". It matches the Rfam family "tRNA". Rfam says of the family: Transfer RNA (tRNA) molecules are approximately 80 nucleotides in length. Their secondary structure includes four short double-helical elements and three loops (D, anti-codon, and T loops). The record is from Rfam by way of RNAcentral. Lineage: Eukaryota; Metazoa; Chordata; Mammalia; Rodentia; Sciuridae.
GGGGAUAUAGCUCAGUUGGUAGAGUGCUUGCUCUGCACGCACAAGGCCCUGGGUUCAAACCCCAGCACCA